CUCCCCCCGGGUAUCCCAAAGGGCUGGGACUACAAAUUGGGUUUGCGCCUCUAUGACCCCAGGCUUGGCUCUGAUCCUCACUCCGGAUCUUGCUCCUGAUCUCUGGAGUGGUAGAAAUAAUCCAGCCCACACGUUUUAACUUGAAUGGAUUUCUGUAAGUGACUGCAUCUCUUUGAUCUGAGGCUCCUGUCUGCAAGGACAAGAACGAUGUAAUUGGAACCACCAAUGGCAGACACAGAAAGAAAACAGGAUUGACAAGCUGGCACCAUGUGAGCCCAUGAGAGCCAAACCAUGGCAAGGGGAUUGCAGAGAGUCAGAUUCUCCACUGAGCCCUGCCCCGGCAGGAAGGCAAGCUCCAGUCAAGGGUGGAACAAGGUGACGCCCACGUUCAGCCAUAGGAAGCUCGCACAUCUCCUGCCACCAGCCACGACAGCCCCCGUCCUGCACAGGCAGGCCCGAAUCUUGGGAAACACAAUGGCUGCCGCCAUCACAGUUAUAGAUAUUCACAGGUCUCAGAGAAGCCCAAAUGCAAUCCUAGCUGACACGAUAACGGAUAUUUAGCAGGGAGUGGAGAGCCCAGGGAAGAAUACUGUGAUGCUGAUGGGGAAUAUUGAUGACUCCCAGUUUGCAGAUAGUGGCACGUGGUGACACCUCCUCACUGUGUGAUCCAGGGGCCUUCCCUGAUGUGGUCCUGGAUGUUUCUGUACUGAUGGCCUCACUCCCCUGGCUGCUUGGCUCUGUACUGGGAUUUUCAUCUCAGGAUGUGUGAAACCAGCCUGAAGACAGUUCUUGUAAAAAUGUCCUUGAAACCAUGAAAUUGGCGCAAGACCGAUCAGAACUGAGAUAGGAAAGUCACUCAAAGAACUCGAAAGCCUACCAGGCCAGAAAGGGUGGUCUACGACUUAAUUGGUUGUAUCAACCCAUGUAAGCAAGGACUAUGUCCUUCAGAAAUGGAUGAACGAGAAUGGAA
Long non-coding RNA from Homo sapiens (human), 970 nucleotides. RefSeq lists it as uncharacterized. NCBI's taxonomy places the organism in Eukaryota, Metazoa, Chordata, Mammalia, Primates, Hominidae. The record is from RefSeq and is a predicted model, not a curated record. The transcript is spliced from 6 exons.